Molecule: transfer RNA, 58 nt
Filed under: Phyllocoptes taishanensis
Lineage: Eukaryota; Metazoa; Arthropoda; Arachnida; Trombidiformes; Eriophyidae
Description: tRNA-Gly
Source: RNAcentral
AACUAACAAGAGCUUUAAGCAGGCCUUCCUUCCAAGAAGACCGAUAAUUUGUUAUUGA